This 177-nucleotide non-coding RNA is filed under the name Candidatus Magnetomorum. Lineage: Bacteria; Pseudomonadati; Thermodesulfobacteriota; Desulfobacteria; Desulfobacterales; Candidatus Magnetomoraceae. RNAcentral also lists the same sequence under 1 other name. The record is from RNAcentral.
AUAAAAUUAAAUAUUUUCGAUCCAGGGAAAACGGUGAAAAUCCGUUGCAGAAGACUGCUGCUGUAACCGGAGACAAAUGCUUCAUUCAUGCCACUGUGCAAUUUAAAUAUGCAUGGGAAGGCGGAGUUGUUUGGAUGACCCGGGAGCCAGAAAACCUGACGAAAAAUCCAAAUAUUU